AGGAUGAAAGUGUAGUUCUAUCGGAGGAGAUAUGCGCUAUUUCUACUUGAUCGUACUGAUGGUACUGAUGUACAAUGAAGCAAGAUGUGAUACAGGUUGGCAGCCUACUCCGAAUAAAGACAAUCCAUUUCCAUACAAUCUAGACAGGUUCCCUAUGCAGAUACGGACGACGACAGCUACUCAAAAUGUUUGGAUACAAGGCAACGUUGACCAGUCUUCCUCACCCGUAGAUUCUUAUGCUGGAAUACUUUUCAGCUUAGCUUGGCAAAUGAGUGACAACAGUAUCUGGCUGGCGUACCACAACCUAGACUAUGGCGAGGAAUUCUUCAACCCAACACCAACCUGUUCAGCCCGGGGAGGAGACUGGACCUUGUUCAAGUUGAAGAGGAAGAUGGUCCUAAGAUGUGGCAAUGAAGAUGUCUACGAAAUCCUUUACAAAGACCUUUACGACAGCAAACUUGAACCUUUCUUGCAGAGGAGCGUUAAGGCGUUAAGCAAAACAGUCACAAACAUAUGGUUUGACCAUGAGCAUGCGGACAACGCAGAGUAUAAAAGGGCAGACUACUGCUACAAAGGUUACAAGAUGGCAUAUGACGGUGGAUGUGACGAAUGCCCAGAAAACACCUACAAUACCAGGCUUGACAAUACUGUCCAACCUUGUACUUCCUGUCCUGACAAUAUGAUAUCUCCUCCUGGAUCUUCUUCAGUUGAUGAUUGCAAGGAAAAAGGAUACAAGAUACCAAUAAUGGCAGUGCUAGUGAAUAAUCAGCGAGAGAAUCACAAACCAGGAUAUAUGUUCGAUGAUAAUACGGCAACAUACUAUCAUCAUAAAUAUAAUAAAAUCCCAGGGGUCAAGGUUUAUUUCGGCUAUGAAGUUGAAGUAUCCAGGGUAAAGAUAACCAACCGACUCGACUAUGCGAAUUACCUCCCAAAUUUGAAAAGCACAGCUGUUUCCGUGAUGCUGAAGGACGGUGGAGUUGACGAAUGCGGAACCCUAGGAGACGACAACACUAUCGAGUACAAGACCUUCACCGUAUUAUGUGGCAACAAAAGGGGGAUAGGACUAGUGGUAGAGAGACCAAGCAGUGUUAAUGGCUGGUGUAUUUCAGAGCUGGAGAUAUAUCACUAUACUGGAAUGCAGGACGUCUGCGAAGCACCCACGUAUUACAACCAACUCACGAAUGCAUGUGAAUCACCACCAGCGUGUAACUCGGGGGAUCGGGAGGUAUUUAACAUUAACAACGGGGCCUGUGAGAAGUGUCCUAAGAAGUCAGUGUUUGUCGAAGGAGCAUGCAUCAAGAUAAGUAAGUUACUCGGCUGGAGGUGGGGAGACGUUUUUGAUUAUUAUUUCAGGUUGAAUUUCUCAGCUACAUGUUUACGUAAAGCAGUUCGAACAAUAAAAUGACAAUAACAAUGACCGACCAUUUGAAUUUUAAGUAAACAAAUCGAGACUUUGUUUGCUUAAAAGUUAUUACAGUACACUUCAGCUCACUCCGUAAAGAAUAAAUUAAUAACCCGUCCCUCAGGCAUCAAAGAUGUUUAGAUCCAUUUCAAAGUCAAACUUCAAUGAGAAUCCAAACCUUAUUCAUUAUUAGAAGAUUUUCCAGAAAUUAACAGGCCAAUUUCCAUAACUUAAGUUAUUUCAUCUAAUGAUUGUUAAUGACGUACCUGAUACUGCUUGGAUCGGCCGAGGGACCAGACACAGGACUCGUCCAACAGCUGGAUAAUGCUCUGACACUGCUCUGUUUGUUGGAGAAUCUGGACUAUCAUUCUCAAUGUGCUGCCUGGGAAUAGAGUGUUACACAAUGAAUGUGCUCCUGAUUAUGUAUAGAUCUUGAUAUUAUGUGCAGUAGGUUAUUCGAAGAGCUGAAAUCUGACGACAGCUGCAAGCAACAAUGAUUUCAGAAUUCAGCAUCAGGAUGAUGAGAAGGUCAGGAAUGUGGACACUUUUUUAGUUAAUAUUAGUUCCGGGGUUUUUAGUUAAUAUUAGUUCUGGGGUUUUUAUGUUUGCUUUCUGGUGUGCCUUCCAUAUCAGCAUUGAGUUAAAUUGGAUGAGUGGGCAUUUUAAUAACUAGUGAGCAGUGACAGUGAAUUAAGUUAAGGCAAAGCUAUUCUCAGCUGUAUUGUAUCUAAUAGUUAAUUUUCUUUUUCGCUGAUGAAGUGGAAUUUUAAGAACCAUUCAAGGGAGAAUCAGUGAACUCUAGACGCAAGUUACUGGUAAUUUGGAAUUACAAAUAAUGUGAAAUUUAUUAUAACUAAUUAUUCAUCGCGUUUUUA
Bolinopsis microptera is the source of this 2277-nucleotide RNA transcript. RefSeq lists it as uncharacterized. NCBI's taxonomy places the organism in Eukaryota, Metazoa, Ctenophora, Tentaculata, Lobata, Bolinopsidae. The record is from RefSeq and is a predicted model, not a curated record. The transcript has 6 exons.